AGAUUGAACGCUGGCGGCAUGCCUUACACAUGCAAGUCGAACGGCAGCACGGGAGCAAUCCUGGUGGCGAGUGGCGAACGGGUGAGUAAUACAUCGGAACGUGCCCAAUCGUGGGGGAUAACGCAGCGAAAGCUGUGCUAAUACCGCAUAAGAUCUACGGAUGAAAGCAGGGGAUCGCAAGACCUUGCGCGAAUGGAGCGGCCGAUGGCAGAUUAGGUAGUUGGUGAGGUAAAGGCUCACCAAGCCUUCGAUCUGUAGCUGGUCUGAGAGGACGACCAGCCACACUGGGACUGAGACACGGCCCAGACUCCUACGGGAGGCAGCAGUGGGAAUUUUGGACAAUGGGCGAAAGCCUGAUCCAGCCAUGCCGCGUGCAGGAUGAAGGCCUUCGGUUGUAAACUGCUUUUGUACGGUAACGAAAGUACUCUUUACUAAUAAAGAGGAUACAUGACGGUAACCGUAAGAAUAAGACACCGGACUAACCGUUACGACCG
This 494-nucleotide ribosomal RNA is filed under the name uncultured soil bacterium. Its description in RNAcentral is "bacterial SSU rRNA". It matches the Rfam family "Bacterial small subunit ribosomal RNA", at positions 26 to 514 of the family's 1533-position model. The record is from RNAcentral.